GACAGAGGGUGCAAACGUUGUUCGGAAUUACUGGGCGUAAAGCGCGUGUAGGCGGCCCUACAAGUCGGAUGUGAAAUCCCACGGCUCAACCGUGGAAGUGCAUUCGAAACUGCAGGGCUAGAGUCCUGGAGAGGAAGGUGGAAUGCUUGGUGUAGAGGUGAAAUUCGUAGAUAUCAAGCGGAACACCGGUGGCGAAGGCGGCCUUCUGGACAGUGACUGACGCUGAGACGCGAAAGCGUGGGGAGCAAACAGG
RNAcentral lists this ribosomal RNA (253 nucleotides) under uncultured bacterium. RNAcentral's name for it is "partial 16S ribosomal RNA". It matches the Rfam family "Bacterial small subunit ribosomal RNA", at positions 524 to 776 of the family's 1533-position model. The record is from RNAcentral.